AGAAUUUGAUCUUGGUUCAGGAUGAACGCUAGCUACAGGCUUAACACAUGCAAGUCGAGGGGCAGCAUUGGAGUAGCAAUACUCAGAUGGCGACCGGCGCACGGGUGAGUAACACGUAUCCAACCUGCCGCUUACUCGGGGAUAGCCUUUCGAAAGAAAGAUUAAUACCCGAUGGUAUAAAGAGUUCGCAUGUUCUCUUUAUUAAAGAAUUUCGGUAAGCGAUGGGGAUGCGUUCCAUUAGAUAGUUGGCGGGGUAACGGCCCACCAAGUCUACGAUGGAUAGGGGUUCUGAGAGGAAGGUCCCCCACAUUGGAACUGAGACACGGUCCAAACUCCUACGGGAGGCAGCAGUGAGGAAUAUUGGUCAAUGGACGAGAGUCUGAACCAGCCAAAGUAGCGUGAAGGAUGACUGCCCUAUGGGUUGUAAACUUCUUUUAUAAGGGAAUAAAGUGAGGGACGUGUCCCUUUUUGUAUGUACCUUAUGAAUAAGGAUCGGCUAACUCCGUGCCAGCCGCCGC
This 518-nucleotide ribosomal RNA is filed under the name uncultured bacterium. Its description in RNAcentral is "bacterial SSU rRNA". It matches the Rfam family "Bacterial small subunit ribosomal RNA", at positions 8 to 518 of the family's 1533-position model. The record is from RNAcentral.